RNAcentral lists this ribosomal RNA (354 nucleotides) under Terebra babylonia. RNAcentral describes it as "partial 12S ribosomal RNA". It matches the Rfam family "Bacterial small subunit ribosomal RNA", at positions 875 to 1384 of the family's 1533-position model. Lineage: Eukaryota; Metazoa; Mollusca; Gastropoda; Neogastropoda; Terebridae. The record is from RNAcentral.
GAGCUUUACUAGAGUACUAUGAACAGUUGCAAGUUUAAAACUCAAAGAACUUGGCGGUGUUUUAGACCAUUUAGGGGAACCUGUCUCAUAAUCGACAAUCCGCGUUGUACCUGACCCUUUUUUGUUUUUCAGUUUGUAUACCGUUGUCGUCAGGUAACUUUUUAGAAGAUAGAAGUUGGCUAGAAAAAAGGUGAUUUAGUACGUCAAAUCAAGGUGCAGCUAAUAGAAGGGGGAGGAUGGGUUACAAUUAUAUAUUUAUAAGUACGAACGGUUGUGUGUAAGCGUGAUCUGUGAAGGCGGACUUAAAAGUAAAUUAGGUUAUAAGAAUAACUUGAAUAAGGCUCUGAAACGUGU